AUUGUGGGAAAACUGAGUUUAAAUGUAUUUGGCUAAGGUGUAUGUAAACUUUCGACUUCAACUGUGUAUAAUAUUGUGGUACCUAUCUAGAGAUUAGAGGUCGACCGAUUAAUCUGAAUGGCCGAUUAAUCAGGGCCGAUUUCAAGUUUUCAUAACAAUCGGAAAUCUGUAUUUUUGGGCGCGGAUUUUUAAAAAUUACAUCUUUAUUUAACUAGGCAAGUCAGUUAAGAACACAUUCUUAUUUUCAGUGACGGCCUAGGAACGAUGGGUUAACUGCCUUGUUCAGGGGCAGAACGACAGCUUUUCACCUUGUCAGCUCGGGGGAUUCAAUCUUGCAACCUUACAGUUAACUUGUCCAACGCUCUAACCACCUGCCUCUCAUUGCACGCCACGAGGAGCCUGCCUGUUACGCGAAUGCAGUAGAAGCCAAGCACUUUCUAGGUUUUUAACAUAGAAUACCAGGAGUCAGCCUCUGCAACCUUGGAGCUGAUACAGAGGUUCCUGGUUCGAAUAAACCCUGAAGGAACCAAAUGCACAGUGAAAGCAGGAGUGAUCCGCAAGACCGGAAAGGUCGCUCCGAGGAAGCAGUUGCCAAUUGAGCCACGUGUUACACGCUUUCUCGCAGACCUGGCGGAGUCUGAGUGGAAAAACUCCAACAUGAGGAUCAGAGUUUCGAAGAUUGGGGUGAUAACCUGCACGCCACCGAGAUUUAUUUGAGACUUGUUUGCAGCUCUCAUUCUCUCAGAAAUCCUGCCAUGCGGGUUGGGUCAGCAAAUGACCUGCUUGUGCCAUCCCGGAUCCCGUGUUGGCUUGCGGUAGCAUGCUACUCUGGCUCCAGUCUAGCCCUGCUCGCUCCUCUCUAUCCAUCCUUCUCUCUCAGCCUCUUUCUUUCUCUAUCUCUUUUUCUCAUUUCUCUCUCAAAGACAGGCAGGCAAGCAGUUCUUGUUAUAGCUUUUUGUAAUAAUUUCUGUUCAACUGUUUUCCUAUUUUUCAUUGAUCUGUUUAGAUUUUACUUUUUUCUUACAUAAUCCUGUAUUUUCAAGAAUGACCUCUUCGGAUGUCUUGGUUUGUGUAUGGUGAAGUACAUUAUUUGCUAG
Oncorhynchus tshawytscha (Chinook salmon) is the source of this 1097-nucleotide long non-coding RNA. The record is from Ensembl. NCBI's taxonomy places the organism in Eukaryota, Metazoa, Chordata, Actinopteri, Salmoniformes, Salmonidae.